AAAAGUACUUUGAAAAGAGAGUGCAAUAGAACGUGAAACCGGUGUAAUGGAAGCGAAUGGAGCCGACGUAUCUGGUGCGUAUUCAGUUGUCGGGCAUCGUAAUUGCUGUUGUUGGCUUUCCGCAAGGUGGUCGCAGUGGUAGUGUUGCGGUGUUUGGCGAUGCACUUGCGUACGGAGUGCGCCAAGUCGUGCGGUGCUGUCGGCCGAAGCGUCACUAGAGGGCAGUUCUUNGGAGCUGAAACCUGGAGGCGUGUGGGUCGGUUGGUGCUGCGCGGUUUUGUGGAGUCGUAGGUUUUUCGCGUGUUGUUGUGUUGAUGCGGUUGGUUUGUGACGUACGCAUGCGUGCUGCACUUAUGGGCCGUGUCGGCGUGGCGAUGUGCUCUGCGCUCUACUUGGUGUAUAGUCGGUGACCCAUUCGACCCGUCUUGAAACACGGACCAAGGAGUUUAUGGUAUACGCAAGUUAUUGGGCUUUGAAACCCAAAGGCGUAAUGAAAGUGAGACCUUAUUGGUUUGAAUGCGAUCGGUUGUCGUUUCGACGGCGGCCGAGCAGUAUUGCCCCGUUUCGUGGACUUGUCCUGUUGCGGAGGUUGAGCGUAUGCUAUGAGACCCGAAAGAUGGUGAACUAUGCCUGAACAGGAUGAAGCCAGAGGAAACUCUGGUGGAAGUCCGAAGCGGUUCUGACGUGCAAAUCGAUCGUCUGAUUUUGGUAUAGGGGCGCAAGACUAAUCGAACUAUC
RNAcentral lists this ribosomal RNA (738 nucleotides) under Parasitaphelenchus frontalis. RNAcentral describes it as "partial 28S ribosomal RNA". It matches the Rfam family "Eukaryotic large subunit ribosomal RNA", at positions 367 to 944 of the family's 3401-position model. The record is from RNAcentral. Lineage: Eukaryota; Metazoa; Nematoda; Chromadorea; Rhabditida; Aphelenchidae.